UGGUUGAUCCUGCCAGUAGUCAUAUGCUUGUCUCAAAGAUUAAGCCAUGCAUGUCUAAGUACAAGCCUAGUUAAGGUGAAACCGCGAAUGGCUCAUUAAAUCACACCUAAUAUACUGGAUAGUAUACAGUUACUUGGAUAACUGCGGUAAUUCUGGAGCUAAUACAUGCGUCUGAGCCCCGAACUUACGUGAGGGGCGCUUUUAUUAGAUCAAGACCAAACGACUUCGGUCGUCCUCUUGGUGAUUCUGAAUAACUUUGGGCUGAUCGCACGGCUUCACGCCGGCGACGUAUCUUUCUAAGGUGUGCCCUAUCAACUGUCGACUGUGGCAUAGACGCCCACAGUGGUUUUGACGGGUAACGGGGAAUCAGGGUUCGAUUCCGGAGAGGGAGCCUGAGAGACGGCUACCACUUCUAAGGAAGGCAGCAGGCACGCAAAUUACCCACUGGUCGAAGACCGAGGUAGUGACGAAAAAUAACGAUACCGGACUCAUCCGAGGCCUGGUAAUCGGAAUGAGUACACUUUAAAUCCUUUAACGAGGAACAAUUGGAGGGCAAGUC
Molecule: ribosomal RNA, 559 nt
Filed under: uncultured microeukaryote
Lineage: Eukaryota
Description: SSU rRNA
Rfam family: Eukaryotic small subunit ribosomal RNA
Source: RNAcentral